RNAcentral lists this long non-coding RNA (330 nucleotides) under Pan troglodytes (chimpanzee). RNAcentral describes it as "long non-coding RNA NONPTRT005058". Lineage: Eukaryota; Metazoa; Chordata; Mammalia; Primates; Hominidae. The record is from RNAcentral.
GACAUCCACACCAAAACCCCAUGAUGAUGGUCACCAACAUCAAAGACCAAAGGUAGAUAAAACCACAAAGAUGGGGAGAAACCAGAGCAGAAAAGCUGAAAAUUCUAAAAACCAGAGAGCCUCUUCUCCUCCAAAGGAUUGCAGCUCCUCACCAGCACAGUGUGUAGAGGGAAAUUUAUAGCACUAAAUGCCCACAAAAGAAAGCAGGAAAGAUCUAAAAUUGACACCCUAACAUCACAAUUAAAAGAACUAGAGAAGCAAGAGCAAACACAUUCAAAAGCUAGCAGAAGGCAAGAAAUAACUAAGAUCAGAGCAGAACUGAAGGAGAUA